UUGAACGCUGGCGGCAUGCCUUACACAUGCAAGUCGAACGGUAACGGGCCUUCGGGUGCCGACGAGUGGCGAACGGGUGAGUAAUACAUCGGAACGUGCCCGAUCGUGGGGGAUAACGAGGCGAAAGCUUUGCUAAUACCGCAUACGAUCUACGGAUGAAAGCAGGGGACCGCAAGGCCUUGCGCGGACGGAGCGGCCGAUGGCAGAUUAGGUAGUUGGUGGGAUAAAAGCUUACCAAGCCGACGAUCUGUAGCUGGUCUGAGAGGAUGAUCAGCCACACUGGGACUGAGACACGGCCCAGACUCCUACGGGAGGCAGCAGUGGGGAAUUUUGGACAAUGGGCGCAAGCCUGAUCCAGCCAUGCCGCGUGCAGGAUGAAGGCCUUCGGGUUGUAAACUGCUUUUGUACGGAACGAAAAGCCUUCUUUUAAUACAGGAGGGUCAUGACGGUACCGGAAGAAUAAGCACCGGCUAACUACGUG
This 481-nucleotide ribosomal RNA is filed under the name uncultured bacterium. RNAcentral's name for it is "partial 16S ribosomal RNA". It matches the Rfam family "Bacterial small subunit ribosomal RNA", at positions 30 to 507 of the family's 1533-position model. The record is from RNAcentral.